AGUGAACGCUGGCGGCGUGCUUAACACAUGCAAGUCGAACGAGAACGGAAUAUAGCUUGCUAUAUUUGUCAGCUAAGUGGCGCACGGGUGAGUAAUGUAUAGAUAACCUGCCCUUAAGAAAGGAAUAACAGUUGGAAACGACUGCUAAUGCCCUAUAUGCCUUUAAUACAUAAGUAUGCAAGGGAAACGCUUUAGUGCUUAAGGAUGGGUCUGUAUGGUAUCAGCUUGUUGGUGAGGUAAUGGCUCACCAAGGCCAUGACGCCUAACUGGUUUGAGAGGAUGAUCAGUCACACUGGAACUGAGACACGGUCCAGACUCCUACGGGAGGCAGCAGUGGGGAAUAUUGCACAAUGGACGAAAGUCUGAUGCAGCAACGCCGCGUGGAGGAUGACACAUUUCGGUGCGUAACUCCUUUUAUAUAGGAAGAUAAUGACGGUACUAUAUGAAUAAGCACCGGCUAACUCCGUGCCAGCCGCCGCGGUAA
This 484-nucleotide ribosomal RNA is filed under the name uncultured bacterium. Its description in RNAcentral is "partial 16S ribosomal RNA". It matches the Rfam family "Bacterial small subunit ribosomal RNA", at positions 29 to 523 of the family's 1533-position model. The record is from RNAcentral.